Molecule: unclassified non-coding RNA, 2414 nt
Filed under: Zerene cesonia (dogface butterfly)
Lineage: Eukaryota; Metazoa; Arthropoda; Insecta; Lepidoptera; Pieridae
Description: transmembrane protein 104 homolog, transcript variant X2
Source: RNAcentral
UGUCAUUUUGAUUGUUAUGAAAUAUUAUUUUUAAUCUCACCUGAAAUUUAUCAAAACAAUAGUAAAAAUUUAUAGUUUCUGCGGUCAGAACAGCUAAAGCAUAGUGAUGUCGUAUGCAAACCAUAUGUUAUGGUUCGGCGACGCUGGUCUGUGAGAAAAUUUUUAAAAAUGCCUUUAGCUGAGGCUGGUGAUCAAUACUCUAUUUGGGUGGGUUUAAUAUAUAUAUUUAAUUUGAUAGUUGGAACAGGGGCUCUCACUCUCCCUGCAGCUUUCGCCAGGGCAGGAUGGGGUCUCAGCACAAUAUCCCUUGUGUUCCUUGCUUUUAUGAGCUUCAUGAAUGCUACAUAUGUGAUAGAAACUAUGGCAUGUGCCAAUGCUGUGUUUAAGUGGAAGCGAUUGCAAUUUAUUAAGAGAAGCAGUGUACAAGAUGAAGAGCAUUCAGAGGAAGAUCAGGCUAGUGUUCAUGAAGAGUUGGAAGAUCCCCUGGUCUGCGGAGAUUCAAUACCUUCCCGAUACUAUAGUUUGGACAAAAGAAUUGAACUUGGCGAGAUGGCUAACCUGUUCUUAAGUAAGAGUGGACGGACAAUGUUCUAUUGUACACUGUGUGUGUAUUUAUACGGAGAUUUAUCAAUAUAUUCAGCAGCUGUGGCAAAGUCUUUGAUGGAUGUUGUGUGUUCAACAAUACCAUCAAACAUGACGAACACAACAGACUGGGAUGCGAUGCCUUGCUUUAACGUGACGUCAUCAGAGGCCGGCGUGUACACUAGGUUGGAUUGCUACCGAGUCGCUCUGUUGACUUUCUUCGCCGCUAUGGGCCCUUUUGUAUUCUUCAAUGUACAGAAAACAAAAUAUUUGCAACUCUUCACUUCGGGUAUGCGGUGGCUGGCAUUCGCAAUAAUGAUAACGAUGGCGAUCCAUCUCCUCAUCAAACACGGACCGCAAGGGAGGCCGCCAGCGUUUGAUUUCACAGGAAUGCCCACUCUGUUCGGGGCGUGCGUGUACUCCUUUAUGUGCCACCAUUCACUGCCCGGACUCAUCUCGCCAAUUCGUGGCAAAGGCUACUUAGGCCUCCAUCUCGCUCUAGACUACCUUCUCAUCAGCAUCUUCUAUCUCCUUCUAGCGUUCACGGGUGCGUUCGCGUUCGCGCAGCUGAGCGACCUGUACACGCUCAACUUCGUGCCCACAGAUAACGAAAAUGUUUUCCUCGAAAUCGUCGAAUAUUUCCUCGCUCUGUUCCCAGUGUUUACGCUGUCCACUAGUUUUCCGAUCAUCGCCAUCACGCUGAGGAAUAAUUUACAAAGUAUGUUCUUAGACACGAGUCGUUUGGAGACGUACAAUUUCGUUCUCAGGAAGAUGUUGUUCCCCGUUGUUGCCGUUGUUCCGCCAUUGCUGUUGACGUAUUUCUUAGAGGAUAUCAGCGUGCUCAUCAAGUUUACAGGGUCUUACGCGGGUACCGGCAUCCAGUACUUAAUACCUACGUUCCUAGUGCUCUCUGCACGACGCCAUUGCACUAACUUAUUAGGGCUGGGCGUUGUCAACAAAUAUAAGAGCCCUUUUUCAAACGUCGCGUGGGCUGUGUUUGUUUUGUUGUGGUCAUUCGUUUGCAUCAUUUUAGUAUCCGUUAAUAUGUUAGAACGGAAUCCUCGACAUUGAAUGUCGUUACGGUGCAAUAAACCACGUAUUAAUUGGCGAUUUAAUGGCCGUUAAAUCGCUUUAACUAAUUAUCCUCAUAAACGAGAUGUUACCAGAUACAGUUGUCGUAAACGUACAUUUAUUACGUAUUUUAUUCACUCAAACAUGUUUAUGUUGAGACCUUUACGAUCGUUUUAGGAAUAAAGUUCGAUUUAUGUUUGGAAAGUACAAAGUUUUUGUGUAACACGUAUUACUAGAUGCAUUAUAUAUGAAUUUAAAUGGAAUUAUCAUUGCGUAAUUAAUAAAUUAAUAAAAUUGUGACCAUUCAUGCAUCAAAUCGUUGUUAUUGUAGCUCAAAUAUUUUUUUAUAAUUCAUAGCUUAUAUUUCAAUCAUUACAAGUGAUUUCAAUUGUUUUAUGAAACAACUGGCUCUCCUAAAAUUAAGUCUUCCCUUGUUAAUGUACAAUAAUUUUAAAGAUGUGAAAAUAAUUUGUUUAUGAUUCGUAUAAUCGUUGGAAUGUUAAUGUAGAAGACUGAACAAACUUUUUUUCAACUCUAUGCUAAUUUGAGCAUUUGUGAUAAUAUGGUUUCAACCAUAGGUAGUAAUCUAUGGCCUAGAAUGUGUGUAAAUGAAAGACAGUUUGCAUUUAACCUACUUAAAAAUAUAAUCGUUAGUUAAUCGAAUGACCUAUCCAGCAACUGAUGUGAUCGCUGUCCAAAACUGCCGCCAACCGAGGCGAGCGGCAUCAAAACCAAACGUAUCCAGACUAGACGAGAGCGCG